Molecule: ribosomal RNA, 460 nt
Filed under: uncultured bacterium
Lineage: Bacteria
Description: partial 16S ribosomal RNA
Rfam family: Bacterial small subunit ribosomal RNA
Source: RNAcentral
CCUACGGGAGGCAGCAGUGAGGAAUAUUGGUCAAUGAACGAGAGUCUGAACCAGCCAAGUAGCGUGAAGGAUGACUGCCCUAUGGGUUGUAAACUUCUUUUAUAUGGGAAUAAAAUGUUCCACGUGUGGGAUUUUGUAUGUACCAUAUGAAUAAGGAUCGGCUAACUCCGUGCCAGCAGCCGCGGUAAUACGGAGGAUCCGAGCGUUAUCCGGAUUUAUUGGGUUUAAAGGGAGCGUAGGUGGAUUGUUAAGUCGGUUGUGAAAGUUUGCGGCUCAACCGUAAAAUUGCAGUUGAAACUGGCAGUCUUGAGUACAGUAGAGGUGGGCGGAAUUCGUGGUGUAGCGGUGAAAUGCUUAGAUAUCACGAAGAACUCCGAUUGCGAAGGCAGUUCACUGGACUGCAACUGACACUGAGGCUCGAAAGUGUGGGUAUCAAACAGGAUUAGAUACCCGGGUAGUC